Carassius carassius (crucian carp) is the source of this 896-nucleotide long non-coding RNA. RefSeq lists it as uncharacterized. The record is from RefSeq and is a predicted model, not a curated record. The transcript has 2 exons. NCBI's taxonomy places the organism in Eukaryota, Metazoa, Chordata, Actinopteri, Cypriniformes, Cyprinidae.
GUAGCUGCAACACAGUGAGAGAGCAUUUUAGUGAUUGGUUUACAACGUCUAUGGUCAAGGAAGACUAAAUUCAAUACCUGAUAAUCUGGUUUAGUGUAGUAUUCCAGGUUGGAGAUAUGGUCGAGAAAAACACUAAACUCAUUUGGGAGGUGUUUGAGCAUGAGGCGAUGGUUGUAUGACUGCUUCAUAUUUCCGACCUGUUCCUGUAUUGAUGGCAGGACUGAGAACACCAGCAUAUCUCUUAUCCAAGGAAAAUUAUGAUCGGACCAGAACUUACUUUGUCUUUGAUUUUUCUCCAGGGUAGCUGACCCACCAUGAACUCAACAAGCAUAUAAAAUAAAGACCACAGGUCAUCAUGUCGACCCAUUUCCUUUAAAAAAAAGAAGAAGAAGAAGAAGAAGGAUGUGCAUUUUAGAAAAAUAUUAGAAGCCCACAGAGUGGAUGCUCUCGAUGGCCUCUAAGAUUUGUCUGCCCAGCCUGAGUGAGGUGGAAAAGCUGAAGGUGCCACAGCUCAUGUUGCGUCGAAGGUCUGCCAAGUUUUUUCCCUGCAGUUCAAUGCACAAGCAUAUGAGUUGUGUGAUAACGUCCAUUAAUUCAGAACAUGAAUAAAUCAUUUGAUGCCCCACCUGAAGCUCCAUAACCACAUAGUUGAAGUGGUCAUUGCGCCCACAGCCAACAAAACGACAAACAUGGUCUUUUCCUAUGAAAUGGGUCAAGGUAAAAAUGGUAUACAGUGUGUCAUACAAAUCCAUAUUUAUUUUUAAGUAAUAUUUCACUUGUGUUUAGUUAUGUAUGAUUGCCCAUAAUAGAGUAGCACACACAUUGUAAAGUGACUCCUCAAAUAGUGUUUUCAUGCUUGUUUUAUAUAAAUUAAAUAAAAAAAUAAAAAAUCAGAA